GACGUGUAUUUAAUCUAGUAUUU
RNAcentral lists this small nuclear RNA (23 nucleotides) under Arabidopsis thaliana (thale cress). Its description in RNAcentral is "snRNA_01611". Lineage: Eukaryota; Viridiplantae; Streptophyta; Magnoliopsida; Brassicales; Brassicaceae. The record is from RNAcentral.